Carlito syrichta (Philippine tarsier) is the source of this 654-nucleotide long non-coding RNA. RefSeq lists it as uncharacterized. NCBI's taxonomy places the organism in Eukaryota, Metazoa, Chordata, Mammalia, Primates, Tarsiidae. The transcript has 2 exons. The record is from RefSeq and is a predicted model, not a curated record.
UAAUGAAGCCUUUAGAUUCAGACUUCCAAAUGGCUCAGCACUGGACACUGGAUUUUUUGGCAUAGACUCUAAGAAUAUUCAGGUCUUGUCUACUUUCUCAGGGACGAUCUUUGACUGUCUCACCAUGAAGUCACCUCCUCGCAAAUCUCAUUUGCUGUCUCAGAUUUCCCUGGCAAGAAGUCGAGCUUUACUGCACCCAGUGAAGGAGAACCUGUAGCAGCACCUAAACUGGGCUCUACUCCACUGAACGUCUGACAGUCCUGUUUCUUCCUACUGGUUCUGCCUUCAGAUGAGCACAGAACAUUGGGUGUGAGAUCUGCAUUUCCCAACAACUAUAGAGAGGGGAAGAUUAAUACAACCCAGGAGUUCAGGGGAGUUCGCUCAGGAGAAAAGUUGACCAACCAGGAAUAGGACAUGAGAGGGCAGGUUCUCUAGUUCACGCCCCAUCCCACUCCAACUGCUCCAAGGUGCAGGUCUUCCAUGAGACCUGCUAUGUUUUCCUGGGAAGUUAGGCCAGAUUCUUCCUGUCCCACAUUGUUUUUUGCUUUUCUUGCUUCUGUGCCUCAGUUUCCUAUUUGUCUCACUCUUGCUGCCUUGGGAUUGCCUACCUCUUCUCAGCCUGCCCCUUUUCCUUAAUAAAGAAUUAAGACAGAA